UAGAACAGUGCUGCUUACAGUGGCCACCAAUUAGCAAGCAAGCAAGACCGUCUUAAGACUCUCUUCCUAGGCUGUGCUAAGUUGACAGUUACACCUGGAGCAGCAUGUAGGGAGAUGAGGAGGCACAGUGACUCAGGGCAAGUCCAUUCUUACCCAGAGGAAAGCUCAGGCCAGGCCAUUUUGUGAGAGAGCUGAUCAAGUCUUACCAAGGUGUGACCACAGCAUGCUCCAAGGACUAGAAGGGUCAUAAGACCUGCAUGCUAGACCUGACCCUACGCUUACUGGUCUAUCUGAGCUGGGACAGCCACAUACUACCCCCUCCAACUGGAUCUCCAUCUCUCCAUCGCUGAAAUGAACAUACUGGGCCUUGAUUCUGAGGAGACUUGAUCCCAACAGAACCACGUACCCCUCAGUUCUCUGUCGCCCGUCAAGUGCCAAUGACUCAGAAGCAAGGCUGUCGUUCACGACACAUCUGAGAAGCGCCAUCCUGCGGCUGGUCCCUGUGCUCCCUUUUGUAAUGAUCUGUAUCCCAGAGCCUGGAUAAGUCCUUCCUCUCUGAGGUCUCCUGUCACAGCAAAGAGAAAAGAAGCUAGGACAACCAACCUCCAGUGCCCACUACCACCUACAGCCUU
Molecule: long non-coding RNA, 632 nt
Organism: Mus musculus (house mouse)
Lineage: Eukaryota; Metazoa; Chordata; Mammalia; Rodentia; Muridae
Product: predicted gene, 33476
Exons: 3
Source: RefSeq, a predicted model, not a curated record